RNAcentral lists this ribosomal RNA (253 nucleotides) under uncultured bacterium. Its description in RNAcentral is "partial 16S ribosomal RNA". It matches the Rfam family "Bacterial small subunit ribosomal RNA", at positions 524 to 776 of the family's 1533-position model. The record is from RNAcentral.
UACGAAGGGGGCUAGCGUUGCUCGGAAUUACUGGGCGUAAAGGGCGCGUAGGCGGACAUUUAAGUUAGAGGUGAAAGCCCAGGGCUCAACCCUGGAAUAGCCUUUAAUACUGGAUGUCUUGAGUUCGGGAGAGGUGAGUGGAAUGCCGAGUGUAGAGGUGAAAUUCGUAGAUAUUCGCAAGAACACCAGUGGCGAAGGCGGCUCACUGGCCCGGUACUGACGCUGAGGUGCGAAAGCGUGGGGAGCAAACAGG